CCCAACUUUUCUGGAAUUAGGGUUGUAUAUUUAUGAAAAGUACCAUGUUUUGCCAUUUAUUACAAAAGUUAUAAUACUUAACUCAUCCUGGAUCUGCAAGUACAUACUGAGAUAAAAUGGUUAAAACCCCAUAGUGUAACCAAGUAAAUGCAGUUGUUCAUACAUUUGCCUCAUAUGUUGGAUAUUUAAAAAGUUGGAUGAUACUUGUUUAAAUUGCUCUAUGCUGAAAGUAGCUAAAAAAGGUUGAGAAUCUCACAUCUAGGAGUUUGGCAAGGUUUGGCUUAACAAGUCUGUAGGGCCUUGUGUUCCACAGAGAGACUAAUGACUGUGCUAUUAGAGAUGCACUCCAUCUCGGUGUCACCCCAUCCCAACCCUGUCCCAUAACACUGCCUCUGAUUAAAAUAUUAACUGUAGACAGCUCACAUCUCUGUGUCUUGAUGACAGGAACAUAAUACUCUUCAUACAACGGUGUGGCUAAACAUAGUGCAGCAUACCAGCUGAUGCUGCCACUCGUGUCUGUGUGUAUAAUAUAUGUGUGCUGGGAGACUUCUGAAUGUAUGACUUUGAUUGAUGUCUAUCACUGAACUUAACCUCUAUCUUGUACAACGCCACAUAUCUUGCAUACGUGUUUGUUUGUAGAUUUAUUUCUCUGUUGUCACAAUACUUGGAUACUCCUGCCCUUGUUAACAAGCCACUGUAGCUGCAUGGAAGAGUGGGCAUUUGUUUGAUCAUUGUGCGUGAGUAUUAUUUCCUCUAUGAUAAACCUACAAAGAUUACCUAGAAGAUUGGCAGUUCAUAUCACAUCACCUUUGGCUACUGCACCCUGCCAUUAAUGCUGCAAGAGAGGUGAGAGGGUAAUGGAAUAUGAGUUAGAACCUUACAUCUGUUGUGGACUGUUGAUCAGAUAUUACUCAUUCAAGAGAAUAUAAAAUGCCCUCAACUGUGUUAAACGCCUGUUAUAUUUACUGGCACGGGCUUAUCUAUUGCUUGCUGUUUGCGACACGCCUUUUUGCUUAGACAUUUGCUUGGCCUUUUUUUAAUCAUAGUUUUUCAUCAUACCUCAGUCUCUCUGUGUACUAAUAAAUCUUUUGUUACUAAGACUCAUAACUUUUUGUUGGAGUUAAUUUCAGGACCUAUGCAAUAUAUCCUUUUAUAGUUCGACAGACAUUCCUCAUUAAUGCUUCUUGAAAACUGCAGGACUCCAGGCACUCAGUUUGUGUGUGUAUAUACAGUGUCUUGUACCUGAUCCAACCAGCUAACACUCUCUGGUAAAUCCCAAAUGGAAACAGUUGUGUUUUGGCAUGGCAUUAUUUCCAAAGGGUAAAAUACAUUUAUUUUUAGCUUGAAAACCCCCUCAUUAGUCCAGCAAGGUCAUCGAACAGUUAAUAACCACUUAUAAUGAACAGAGUGCUAAUCUUUCUUUCAGGUUGUUGAUAAGAGCAAACUUUAUAUUUCCAAAUGUUCAUCCUCUCCUACUAUGCCCCGCCGCUGCACCUCUAGUCAAAUGUUAGAUAGAUUUUUGUUUGUCAUUAACAAAAGUAACAAUAAGUAAUGUAGCACAUUAAAAAAAAAAAUUAUAGAGGCUAUCUGGGACCUGUAGAGACUGACAUGAAUGAAAGCCAAAAUGUGCAUGACGGUGUACAUGAGAAAACUAAUACCACACCAAAUACUGAUUUGAUUUAGUUUUACUAUCAACCUUUAUGCCUUUAUAUGCCAGCAACAAGUGAAAUGAGCAUUGGGCAUUACCCAUAAGGACUCCCUCUGGUGGCAAAGCAUGCUCCACUUUUUUCCACACACAACACAUGACUUAAAAAAGACAAGUCUGCUACUGAUGUACAUUUUACUGAUGUAUGUAUUUCUGUUGUAUAUUUAAAGCCUUAAACCUGCAUUUGGAGUAUUUCGUUUCAGAUUAGCACGAGACAACCUGUCACUCUUUCAUUCCCUGAUUCGCUCAUCCAGCUGAGUCUGUGUGUUCAUGACCACAUGCUCCUUGUCAGGGUGCUGACAGGCUCAGAGACAUAACCCCUCAUUGUUCAUUAACAAUACUCGCUGCUUCUUGAUGUCUCAAUGAUGUCAGAGGUAAACAAACAAUCAGGUCAUCUGCACAUAUUUCAUCUUGCUUCUAUGUAGGAAGGUUAUAGCAGUCUAUAGAGAUCAUUUUAGUGUAAUCACAACCAUUUCUCCACAAUUACUUUCUUCACUAUGAGACAUGCAGCAUGUUUCUUUUAGUUUCAUGUAUAAAGGUCCCAAAGAAGCAUAAACUAUAAUGUAUAGUAAUAUGUGUAGUAUUACACAGAAAGGUAAUGUGUUUUAAACCACUACUGGUUCACCACAGAAACUAUUUAUUUAGUCACCUUAAUAAAUUAGCUCUUUUGUAGCACUUUUAAAGGAUUGUUAACCUCCCAUUAUUUUUAAGAUUCAUUAAGAACAUUUAAACCCCAGUAGAUAUAAAACAGUAUGAAAACUUCAUCUGUUUGAUAAACCCAUCAUUGAAAGUGCAACCAUGCUGUUUCUGGAAUUCAGUCCAUGUAAAAUAAUGCUCUUUUAAUGAGUAGUUAAAGCUUUAAAAGCAUUUCCGCAUGCAAAUCGCAAGCAUGUGAGACUCCGUGGUAGGUGUAGUAGGCAGAAAUCGAAGCAGAGAGAUGGAGCAGAUCCUCUUGAUCUUGUGUACUGCUUUCCUAUUGGGCAUGGGCUAGAGCUCCUGCCCCCUGGCCGAACCCAAAACCCUUCGGCCCAAAGUUCUUAGCAUAGCAACCUGUAGAUUAAAAACAAUGAUAGAGUUAUACAUUUUAAAUCGUCAGACCUGACCUAUACAUUUUAAAUCCCAGACCUGCCAACCCCAAAGAGGAAUAAUGUGUAAUUCUGCCAGGAUGAGGAUGGGGGCCAGUUUGAGGGUAUGGGGUAGUCAUGAAUAAAUAUAAGCAUGUUACAUAUGUACAUGUCUAAUGUUAGCUAAGUCAAAGAUACACUGAGAUAUUUUAUUUUGCAUUCAUUAAUUCAAAACAUUCUCCAUUUACCUUGACAGAAAACGAAGCUGCAUCUUUCAAGUGAGAAACUGAGAGUGGAGAAGACAGCACCAACCAACAGAGAUGGGGAAAUGGGGGCAGGGCUUUCAGGGGGUAUUAACAUAAUAAUAUCAGAGAGUUGAAAACACCUACACAACUGGCACUCAUUCCAAAUUCAUAUGUAGAUUGGCUUGCCUGUCAUUUUUAUUGUUGGGGGGAAAUGGAAGACUCUUUUGGUAAAUUUUUAAGUGAUACCUCAUCGCAACAUACUCCAAUGUUAAAAUGCAGAGCUCCUAUACAAAAUACAUGAAGGUUGGCAGGUCUGUAAUCCAUUUAUAUCCAUAUUAUUCCAUGUACACUGUUAUUAGAACAGGAUCAUAUGGUAUACCAUAGUGUUUUCCAGUACUGGUACAGGAAUAUCAGAAUACUGUUAAUUUCCUGUUCUAACACAGCUAUUUUAACCUCAUGGUUAUUAAUGAACUAAUUCAGAGUCCUGGAGCUGAAUAAUAAUCACAAAUGUACUCCAAGAUCAAGAUUACAAAAUGCUGGAUGAGUUGAUAUACACUCACUGGCCACUUUAAUAGGAACUUGUUCUUGACUCUAAGAUUCCUGUUCUUGGCUGGCAGGAGUGGAACCCAAUGUGGUCUUAUGCUGUUGCAUGCUGAGAUGCUUUUCUGCUCACCAUGGUUGUAAAGAGUUGCUAUGAGUUGCUAUAUCCUUCCUGUCAGCUCAAACCAAUCAGGCCGUUUCCCUCUGACCUCUCUUAUCAACAAGGCAUUUCCACCCACAGAACUGUCACUCAUUCAAUGUUUUUUUGUUUUUUGCACCAUUCUGUGUAAACUCUAGAGACUGUUGUGUGUGAAAACCCCUGGAGAUCAGCAGUUUUGGAAAUACUCAAACGAGUCCAUCUGGCACCAACAGCCAAACCACAGUGAAAGUCACACUUUGAGAUCAUAAUUUUUCCCAUUCUGAUGUUUGAAGUGAACAUUAACUGAAGCUCUUGAUUUGUAUCUGCAUGAUUUUAUGCAUUGUGCUGCUGUCAAGGGAUUGGCUGAUUAGAGAACGGCAUCAAACAGCAGGUGGAUGGGUGUUCCUAGUAAAGUGGAAGGAAAUAACUGGCAAAAGCCUUUUUGGUUCAGGGAGAGUUCAACAGCACUCUGUUCAUAUCGUUGAUGCACUGCUUCAAUAUUGUGGACAACACAGACAUAUUGAGGAGGAGCACACACUGGAGUCCCAUAUAAGGCAUCCACUACCACGAUGGCGUUCAUUUUCUGAAUUCCUAAUAUGGGCACACUUGUUAAAGUAGACAUGUUAGUCUUCUUCACAUGCAACCUAGGAAUUCAAGACAUGUCAUCUUUCUGCACGGAUGUCUCAGAGUUUCUGAAAUAGAUUAGACAAUAAUAAGUCGACUGGAAGCCCUUCCUUAUUGAAACAAAAUUCUGAAGUUGGUGACUUACUACAGAGAAAGCAGGACUUGUGGAAAUACUUCCCCUCGCACUGGACUUCCUCUGCAAAGUAUACAGUCUUCUGGCAACAGCCACACCUGUUUCCCCCUCCGAGGGGCAUCCUGAACUCACACACACACACACACACACACACACACAAUCCAUACAAUGCAAAUAUACAUGGUAAAAUAUCUACACUAGACCAACAAACAAUUCAUCUUGAAAUAUGAUGGACAUACAUAGUGAUAUUCUGAGUAAACUGUCAAAUAAACAAUGGCAUAUUUUUA
Molecule: long non-coding RNA, 4737 nt
Organism: Neoarius graeffei (lesser salmon catfish)
Lineage: Eukaryota; Metazoa; Chordata; Actinopteri; Siluriformes; Ariidae
Exons: 2
Source: RefSeq, a predicted model, not a curated record